CGAAAGCCUGACGGAGCAACGCCGCGUGAGGGAGGAAGGCCCUUGGGUUGUAAACCUCUUUUGAUGGGGAAGAAUUCUGACGGUACCCAUCGAAUCAGCAUCGGCUAACUCCGUGCCAGCAGCCGCGGUAAUACGGAGGAUGCAAGCGUUAUCCGGAAUUAUUGGGCGUAAAGCGUCCGCAGGUGGCUUUUCAAGUCGGCUGUCAGAGCAUGGAGCUUAACUCCAUAGAGGCGGUGGAAACUGAAAGGCUAGAGGCCGGUAGGGGUAGUGGGAAUUCCCAGUGUAGCGGUGAAAUGCGUAGAGAUUGGGAAGAACAUCGGUGGCGAAAGCGCACUACUGGGCAGGACCUGACACUGAGGGACGAAAGCUAGGGGAGCGAAAGGGAUUAGAUACCCCUGUAGUCCUAGCCGUAAACGAUGGAGACUAGGCGUAGCUUGUAUCGACCCGAGCUGUGCCGAAGCUAACGCGUUAAGUCUCCCGCCUGGGGAGUACGCACGCAAGUGUGAAACUCAAAGGAAUUGACGGGGGCCCGCACAAGCGGUGGAGUAUGUGGUUUAAUUCGAUGCAACGCGAAGAACCUUACCAGGGCUUGACAUCUGUAGAACCUGAGUGAAAGCUUGGGGUGCCUUCGGGAGCUACAAGACAGGUGGUGCAUGGCUGUCGUCAGCUCGUGUCGUGAGAUGUUGGGUUAAGUCCCGCAACGAGCGCAACCCUCGUUCUUAGUUGCCAGCAUUAAGUUGGGCACUCUAGGGAGACUGCCGGUGACAAACCGGAGGAAGGUGGGGAUGACGUCAAGUCAGCAUGCCCCUUACGUCCUGGGCAACACACGUACUACAAUGGUCGAGACAGAGGGCAGCGACCUCGCAAGAGCAAGCGAAUCUCAUCAAACUCGGCCUCAGUUCAGAUUGCAGGCUGCAACUCGCCUGCAUGAAGGAGGAAUCGCUAGUAAUCGCCGGUCAGCAUACGGCGGUGAAUUCGUUCCCGGGCCUUGUACACACCGCCCGUCACACCAUGGGAGCUGGCCACGCCCGAAGUCGUUACCCUAACCCCGAAAGGGGAGGGGGAUGCCGAAGGCAGGGCUAGUGACUGGGGUGAAGUCGUAACAAGGUAGCCGUACCGGAAGGUGUGGCUGGAUCACCUCCUUU
This 1145-nucleotide ribosomal RNA is filed under the name Gloeothece aequatorialis. RNAcentral describes it as "16S ribosomal RNA". It matches the Rfam family "Bacterial small subunit ribosomal RNA", at positions 376 to 1533 of the family's 1533-position model. The record is from RNAcentral. Lineage: Bacteria; Bacillati; Cyanobacteriota; Cyanophyceae; Chroococcales; Aphanothecaceae.